CCCUGAAAAAAAAAAAAAAGGAAGAGAGGAACGUUUGGCUUUCCGUGGAGGUUGAAGCAUCUGCGCCUUGUGUUGGUUGCACCAAAACAUCGCAAUGUAUUGAAACAGUUGUGGAUCCGGGCGGGAGGCAGACUGCACUGGAUAAUACAGAACACUGGACGAAUGAAGGUUGGGAAAAAGAGACAGAAUCAAAUCAAGUUGGCUGGUGGGCCGGUGGACAGCUAAAGCUGUAUGGCCUUGUUUCUCUUUCUGGGAAAUCUUUAAAGUGUCACAAAGCAAUCUGUUGUAAAGUCCUGCUUUGAGAAGAAUCAAGCAAGAAGUUUGGUUUGGCAUGAUCAUCAUCAUCACCAGCACCCUCAUCGGGCCUUUAUCUUACAGCUGCAUGUUCAUUAAUGUAUUUUGCUUUUGUCUCCCUUUUCAAUUUGUGCUGAGGAAAACACAUUUUUUCCUCAAAUAGUUUGCUUUUAUUGCCUUGCUGAUACUUUGCCCCUUAUGCUGGGAGUCUUUGCAUUGUGUUGUGAUUGCCUCCACAUUUAUUAGAAACAAAUCUGGUCUCUGCC
Molecule: long non-coding RNA, 560 nt
Organism: Anolis sagrei ordinatus
Lineage: Eukaryota; Metazoa; Chordata; Lepidosauria; Squamata; Anolidae
Source: RefSeq, a predicted model, not a curated record